This 694-nucleotide ribosomal RNA is filed under the name uncultured bacterium. Its description in RNAcentral is "bacterial SSU rRNA". It matches the Rfam family "Bacterial small subunit ribosomal RNA", at positions 32 to 715 of the family's 1533-position model. The record is from RNAcentral.
AACGCUAGCUACAGGCUUAACACAUGCAAGUCGCGGGGUAACGAGAGGGAAGCUUGCUUUCCUUGUCGACGACCGGCGCACGGGUGAGUAACGCGUAUCCAACCUGCCCAUUACCACGGGAUACCCCGUCGAAAGGCGGCCUAAUACCGUAUGCAGUCGUCAGAUGACAUCAGAGGACGACGAAAGGAUUGGCGGUAAUGGAUGGGGAUGCGUCUGAUUAGGUAGUUGGAGGGGUAACGGCCCACCAAGGCAACGAUCAGUAGGGGUUCUGAGAGGAAGGUCCCCCACAUUGGAACUGAGACACGGUCCAAACUCCUACGGGAGGCAGCAGUGAGGAAUAUUGGUCAAUGGGCGCAAGCCUGAACCAGCCAAGUAGCGUGCAGGAUGACGGCCCUAUGGGUUGUAAACUGCUUUUAUACAGGAAUAAAGUUAGCCACGUGUGGCUAUUUGUAGGUACUGUAUGAAUAAGGACCGGCUAAUUCCGUGCCAGCAGCCGCGGUAAUACGGAAGGUCCAGGCGUUAUCCGGAUUUAUUGGGUUUAAAGGGAGCGUAGGCCGUCUGUUAAGCGUGUUGUGAAAUGUAGAUGCUCAACAUCUGAAUUGCAGCGCGAACUGGCAGACUUGAGUGUGCGCAACGUAGGCGGAAUUCGUGGUGUAGCGGUGAAAUGCUUAGAUAUCACGAAGAACUCCGAUUG